UUCCGUAAAAUUGUCAAAUGAAUUAUUUUCUUUCUUUUCUUUCUAUGUGUCGUUUGGGUAAUGUUGCAAUGUGCAAAAUGUUUGUGUAGUGCUGUUACUAAGGGCUCUACUGUCCGUAAAAAAACCCAAUAUCUCUCCCUCCAGCUUAAUCGCAAAUUGCGUAACGGGCCUGACAAUUUAGAUUAUCAGGCCCAAAGGGAGGACUGUGACAGUCAGCAGCGACUCCCUAACUGCUAGUAGCUUUAUAAUAGCUGGCAACCAUUAGGGGAAAUUAAACAUCUCACGGACACAGUAGCCUGAACUUUUGAACUGUCUUCCCUUAUUGGUUUUGAGGCAGUUGAAGAUGGUCCUAAACUGGAUUUUGCUGAGCAGAUUGCAAAAGUGCAGGAUUUGCUAACCACCAAUCAAAUGCUAGCACGACCGAAGCCUGUAUAGUAACUAGGGCCCUGGGAAUGCUGCCAAAACUGUCCCAGAACUGAGAAAUUCUCCUUUUGCCUGGAGGCCUCUCAUCAGCAAGCAGAAGAAUCAGACCUAAGAAGCACUGCAGAGCAAACAGAGGAAGCAGAGCUCUACACAUGGCAGGAUUCAUCACCAAAUAGUUCCAAAAAGACCCAGCAAGGACUUCAUAGAGUGAAUGACUAGUUAUUCCAUUUUUGUUUUUCAUUCUCCUCAUUCAGGGUGUGGCUCCAGGUCUUAUAUUUAUUGCACAUCAUCCAAAUCCCAAAACUAUUAAUUCCCUCCUGGGCAUUUCUGUGGUGCUCUCAUCAUAGUAUUUGAUCAUACACACGAAUGAAUUUAUCUUCCCAGCAUCCAUCUGAGUUUUACAAAAUCUAACAGUACUAGAAAUAUUUUAAUAACUUUCAAAAAUUAAAUUUAAAUUAUUAUUUUUUGUUUAGAUUUAAACCUUUCCCUCUAGUCCUGGGACUCCAGGCAUAUCAGCAUGUUGUUAUUGCAUGUGAACUACAGAUUGAAAUAGACUAGAAACUAGGGGGGAAACUGCAUGUAAUAGCUCAUUAUUAUUUUGAAAAUCAGGAUGGAACAGCAACACAAAAAGAAAAAUAAAACCAGGACUGAAAAAAGACAGGAAUGGGUCAAAUGGGCUGUAGCAAAUAAUGACGCAAUAUCUCAUUACCUGGUCCAAGGAUGGAUUUCAUUUCCUUCCAUGCGUUGUACUGAAUUGGACCCUUGAACUGUCCCAGGCUCAGUUCAUGACAGACAAGUGCUCCCAGAGAUAAGGUGCCUGUUUUUUCCUCUAAGCUGUGCAGGACACAAAGCACCCUGCCCAUUAGAUUGUGUUUACAGUGUCCGGUAAAUACAGAGGCUACAGGUGCACUAAUGCUGCAGAAAACAUUGUCUUUGGUAAAAUGUUAAAGAAAGUCUCUUUGACUGGAUUCAAGCCCUUUUGUUUCCCCUUUUUGUGAACAUUCUAGCAAACAAGCUGUAUCGGCACUGUGAUUAAUUAGACUGCUAUGUCUAAUCUAAUAUGGUCACCACUUCUACAAAAUUGUGAUACAUCUUGUACAAAGUAUGCCUUGUGAGGUAUAACUGGAAAAGUUAUAAUCUGCUGAGUAUUAUUAUCUUAUUAUACUGUGUGUAUUGACAUUGUGUGUGUAGUUAUGACAUUUUGCUCUAUAUUUGUAACUCAAACAUGUUGUGAGUCUGAGAAAUGCCCACAGGUUAGCUCUUCAGGAAUAACAAAGGAACUGUAAACAAGAGCCUCUGCAUGUCAUUCCUGAAGACACCUCAAAUGGGCACGUGCACAGAAGGUGCAAGCAAAAAUUUGCAAUUCAUAUGAAGGACCAAUGGCAAAGCACAGACACGACUGAACUGCCUGACCCUAUGACUCAGCAAAGUUUUUUCCCCUCAAAAAGGGUCAAUAUAUAAAAGGGAAAAAGGCCCCUGGCCACCUCUUUCCUGCCCUACUUCUGGACUGAUGAAUUCUGACAAAGGAAAUUUUGAACAAAAGGAUGGAGGUCCCCAAAAACUAUUUGGGAAAGCCAGAGAGACAUAUAGAAAACUAGCAGAUUGAACAUCCCUGCUAUCAUUUUGGACUUACAAACUCUAAUUCCUCUGUAACACAUUUUACCUGCUUUAACUUCUAAAUAACUCUCAUUUCUUUUUCUUAGCUAAUAAAUCUCUGGUUAGUUUACAAAGAAAUUGA
Long non-coding RNA from Gopherus flavomarginatus (Mexican gopher tortoise), 2161 nucleotides. RefSeq lists it as uncharacterized. The record is from RefSeq and is a predicted model, not a curated record. NCBI's taxonomy places the organism in Eukaryota, Metazoa, Chordata, Testudines, Testudinidae. The transcript has 3 exons.